AAUUCGCGUGGUUUUUUUGGUGCCAGCAUUGCAUUUUGCGAUGCGGGUGAAACGGGAAACAGGGACCGAAACACUAAUCGGCAACCUGUGCUGCCCCCGCAACGGUAAGCAAGUGCGGGUGCGUUCUAGGAGAUCCUCCCCGGAUCUCAAUCCACUGCGGCCUCUGGCUGCGGGAAGGUGAGCGCAUCAAGACUUGUCAGCCCGGAGACCGGCCAGAAAAGCGAUUGAAGC
This 231-nucleotide non-coding RNA is filed under the name Betaproteobacteria bacterium. Lineage: Bacteria; Pseudomonadati; Pseudomonadota; Betaproteobacteria. The record is from RNAcentral.